AACGAACGCUGGCGGCAUGCCUAACACAUGCAAAUCGAACGAGACCUUCGGGUCUAGUGGCGCACGGGUGCGUAACGCGCGGGAACCUGCCCUUAGGUUCGGAAUAACUCCCCGAAAGGGGUGCUAAUACCGGAUAAUGUCUUCGGACCAAAGAUUUAUCGCCUUUGGAUGGGCCCGCGUUGGAUUAGCUAGUUGGUAGGGUAAAAGCCUACCAAGGCGACGAUCCAUAGCUGGUCUGAGAGGAUGAUCAGCCACACUGGGACUGAGACACGGCCCAGACUCCUACGGGAGGCAGCAGUGGGGAAUAUUGGACAAUGGGCGAAAGCCUGAUCCAGCAAUGCCGCGUGAGUGAUGAAGGCCUUAGGGUUGUAAAGCUCUUUUACCCGGGAUGAUAAUGACAGUACCGGGAGAAUAAGCUCCGGCUAACUCCGUG
Molecule: ribosomal RNA, 433 nt
Filed under: uncultured bacterium
Lineage: Bacteria
Description: partial 16S ribosomal RNA
Rfam family: Bacterial small subunit ribosomal RNA
Source: RNAcentral